UGCUGUGUUAUCGUACCCAGGUGUCGCGGGAUGCUGUGUUAUCGUACCCAGGUGUCGUGGGAUGCUGUGUAAUCGUACCGAGGUGUCGCGGGAUGCUGUGUAAUCGUACCCAGGUGUCACGGGAUGCUGUGUAAUCAUACCCAGAUGUUGCGGGAUGCUGUGUCAACGUACCCAGGUGUCGGAGGAUGCUGUGUAAUCGUACCCAGAUGUCACGGGAUGCUGUGUAAUCAUACCCAGGUGUCGUGGGAUACUGUGUAAUCAUACCAGGUGUUGCGGGAUGCUGUGUAAUCAUACCCAGGUGUUGCAGGAUGCUGUGCAAUCAUACCCAGGUGUUGGGGGAUGCUGUGUAAUCAUACCCAGGUGUCGCAGGAUGCUAUGUAAUCAUACCCAGAUGUCACGGGAUGCUUUGUAAUCCUACCCAGGUGUUGCAGGAUGCUGUGCAAUCAUACCCAGGUGUUGGGGGAUGCUGUGUAAUCAUACCCAGGUGUUGCAGGAUGCUAUGUAAUCAUACCCAGAUGUCACGGGAUGCUUUGUAAUCCUACCCAGGUGUCGUGGGAUGCUGUGUAAUCCUACCAAGGUGUUGCAGGAUGCUGUGCAAUCAUACCCAGGUGUUGGGGGAUGCUGUGCAAUCAUACCCAGGUGUUGCAGGAUGCUGUGUAAUCAUACCCAGGUGUUGGGGGAUGCUGUGUAAUCAUACCCAGGUGUCGCAGGAUGCUGUGCAAUCAUACCAGGUGUUGGGGGAUGCUGUGUAAUCAUACCCAGAUGUCGCGGGAUGCUGUGCAAUCAUACCCAGGUGUUGGGGGAUGCUGUGUAAUCAUACCCAGGUGUUGCGGGAUGCUGUGUAAUCAUACCCAGGUGUCGCGGGAUGCUGUGCAAUCAUACCCAGGUGUUGGGGGAUGCUGUGUAAUCAUACCCAGGUGAUGCUGUGUAAUCAUACCCAGGUGUCG
Long non-coding RNA from Haliotis rubra (blacklip abalone), 947 nucleotides. RefSeq lists it as uncharacterized. The transcript has 4 exons. The record is from RefSeq and is a predicted model, not a curated record. Lineage: Eukaryota; Metazoa; Mollusca; Gastropoda; Lepetellida; Haliotidae.